Molecule: ribosomal RNA, 406 nt
Filed under: uncultured bacterium
Lineage: Bacteria
Description: partial 16S ribosomal RNA
Rfam family: Bacterial small subunit ribosomal RNA
Source: RNAcentral
AUUGAACGCUGGCGGCAGGCCUAACACAUGCAAGUCGAACGAGUGGCGGACGGGUGAGUAAUGUCUGGGAAACUGCCUGAUGGAGGGGGAUAACUACUGGAAACGGUAGCUAAUACCGCAUACCAUCAGAUGUGCCCAGAUGGGAUUAGCUAGUUGGUGGGGGAACGGCUCACCAAGGCGACGAUCCCUAGCUGGUCUGAGAGGAUGACCAGCCACACCUGAACGUAGACACGGUCCAGACUCCUACGGGGGGCAGCAGUGGGGAAUAUUGGACAAUGGGCGGAAGCCUGAUUGAGCCAUGCCGGGUGUAUGAAGAAGGCCUUCGGGUUGGAAAGUACUUUCAGCCGGGAGGCGUUACCCGCAGAAGAAGCACCGGCUAACUCCGUGCCAGCAGCCGCGGUAAUUC